CAUGGCUCAGGAUGAACGCUAGCGGCAGGCCUAACACAUGCAAGUCGAGGGAGGAGCUUUCGGGCUUCGACCGGCGUACGGGUGCGUAACGCGUAUACAAUCUGCCUUUCACAUAGGGAUAGCCCGAAGAAAUUUGGAUUAAUACCUAAUGGCAUAUAGGGGUGGCAUCACCUUUAUAUUAAAGCUGAGGCGGUGAAAGAUGAGUAUGCGUUCUAUUAGCUAGUUGGAGAGGUAACGGCUCCCCAAGGCGACGAUAGAUAGGGGUUCUGAGAGGGAUAUCCCCCACACUGGUACUGAGAUACGGACCAGACUCCUACGG
This 319-nucleotide ribosomal RNA is filed under the name uncultured bacterium. Its description in RNAcentral is "bacterial SSU rRNA". It matches the Rfam family "Bacterial small subunit ribosomal RNA", at positions 18 to 344 of the family's 1533-position model. The record is from RNAcentral.